Molecule: ribosomal RNA, 164 nt
Filed under: Chrysolaena flexuosa
Lineage: Eukaryota; Viridiplantae; Streptophyta; Magnoliopsida; Asterales; Asteraceae
Also listed under: 1 other name
Description: 5.8S ribosomal RNA
Rfam family: 5.8S ribosomal RNA
About the family: 5.8S ribosomal RNA (5.8S rRNA) is a component of the large subunit of the eukaryotic ribosome.
Source: RNAcentral
AAAAUGACUCUCGGCAACGGAUAUCUCGGCUCACGCAUCGAUGAAGAACGUAGCAAAAUGCGAUACUUGGUGUGAAUUGCAGAAUCCCGUGAACCAUCGAGUUUUUGAACGCAAGUUGCGCCCGAAGCCAUCCGGUCGAGGGCACGUCUGCCUGGGCGUCACGC